This is a long non-coding RNA of Passer domesticus (house sparrow), 4369 nucleotides long. RefSeq lists it as uncharacterized. The record is from RefSeq and is a predicted model, not a curated record. NCBI's taxonomy places the organism in Eukaryota, Metazoa, Chordata, Aves, Passeriformes, Passeridae. The transcript has 3 exons.
GCCCGUGCCGCUCGCCCGCCGCCUCAGAGCUGCCGCUCCGCCGGUGGAGCCGCCGCCAGUCCCCGUCCCGCUGCGGGUCCCGCUGCCGCCCGGGCCCGCCGCAUGCCGCCCGCCGCUGCUCCGGCUCCCUGCUCCGGCUACCUCUUUCGGCUCCUCUGUGCUUUUUCCGCUGCAAAUCGUCCGGGCGCUUCGCCGCCGCGCGGUACCGGCGGGGACCCCCCGACGGUGGGGAUGUGUUUGACGCUCCGCUGCGCACCGGGCUCCCGGCGAGCGGCCGCGGCCUUUUCCCAGCGCCGCGGGACGGGGGUGGCGGAGCGGUGCCGUGGGACUGCCGGUUGUUUAAAUCCCCUUUUCCGGGGUUUUUUGGGGCGGUCGGUGCGUGGCCCGGAGGGCAGAGCUCCCUGGGUGUCCCCGCAGCCGAUCCCCGGUGCCCCGGGCCGUGCGCUCCCGCGGCCCCGAGCGCGGCGCUCCGGCCCCGCUCUCUCCAACGGGCGAAAUCGGGGAAUCGCUGGGAAAAAGGGACACGAGACCCUCCGCGUGCCCUCCCCGACUCUCUCCCUCCUCUCUUCCCGCAGCCUUCCCGCAGCCGGCUCCAUCCCGAGCACCGGGAAGCGCCCGGGAGGUCCCGGCCGGAGGAGGAUGCGGCACCUCGGGCCCCUCCUGCGGAGCACCUUCCUCGGAAGAUCCCAACCUCAGUGCGUGACUGAGGCUGGGAAGGGAUUUGUGGGAUGCUCGGAGUUUUGGAGGUAGGAAUGGGAACAAGAACCCCUUUUUUCUGCUCCCUGCCUUCAGCUCCAAAGAUUCCUGCAAAAGAAGCCCCCAAGGACGGGAGGAAUUACAGACUUUGGUUUUCUCCCCUGCUCGCUGCUGCCUUCCAGGGCUCCCCAGCCCUGCCUGAGGCAGGGAGUUGCAUUUCCCAGCCCACAGGUUUGAAUUCCUCUUUGUGCAGCACAGGUAGAAGGGGAAGGUGACUUUGGGUGGCUGUUUCCUCUUGUUCCAGAGAUGAUCUCGGGGAUGAGGCCGUGCCUGGCAGCGGGGCAGGGAACGUGUCCUGCUGCACGUCCCUGAUCCCGCACCAACCAUUCCGUGUUCCCGGUCACUCCUCGGGAGAAGGAGCACAAUUCCCUGGCCUCACACAGCAAAGGAGGGAGCUGGAGCACCUGGAGGUGCUCAGGAGCUCCUGUUUCCUGAGAAGUUCACUCAGCCAUGAAAUGGAAUGAGAUAAUGCUCAGGGAACAAGUGGGUUCAAGUGGGGCCGUUUGUCCUGCGGGGUCUCGUGGCCGGGCUUUUGUAAGACAAAGGAUGGGGAUGUUUGCCCAGGGAUGGGCACAGGCUGCAGCUGCAGGGCAGGAUCCCACAGGCUGUGUCAUCCUGGCCUGGCACAGCGGGCCCUGACAUCAGCAUUCCCAGGAAAAGGGUGCAGAUUUGGGAGGGAACAACCCCAGUUCCUGUGGAGCCUUUGGGAGUGCACCCAGUUCAGAGAGGAUUUGGGGGAACGGAUCCAGCUCUUCCUGACAGAGUGGGCACGGCAGAGGUUGAUAUUUGGAAUAUUGCUUCAUUUUCUGACGUGGCCUCCGAGAAAGUUCCUGGCCAGCUCAGCCAGUGUUUCUGGGAAUUGGGCAGUAAAUCCAAGGUCUGUGUGCCUGGCUCCAUCACAUUCCCAUUUGGGAAUUCUCAGCACCCCUGUGGGAUGGAGGCUGCUCCACCUCCCACCCCAGCUCCUCAGUUCUGUACUCCUUCCUCCUGCAGGAAUAAGAGCGUGUGUGCAUUGGCUCCAGAGCAGGCAGAGCCCUGCUCGUGCCAGGAAGGAAAAAUUUCCUUUCCAGUGGCAGCCAGGGAAGGCAUUUUUAGAGGAUGAGAGCACAUGGAAUCUCUGGAUGUGCUCUGGGAUGCAGGAUCAAAACCCACCCGUGUAUGAAUUGCACGUUAAAUGUCAGGUGAGGUGUUGGAUCUCUUCUUUCCUCCUGCACAGCACAGCCUGGAUGGCACUUUUCAAAAUAAUGGGGAUUAUUGUGAUUAAUUAUGAUUAUUGUGAUUAUUCAUUAAGGGAUGCAUUAAGGAUCCCUCUUCUGAACCAGCCCCUCAUUAACCUGCACAAGUACACAACAAAAAAAGAUGAUUCUUCCUCUAAAAAUCCUUUCCAGCCUUAAUCCUGGAGUUAAAGAUCAGAUUUCCACAGGGAAAACUGGGGAUUUUAAAGGGGAAAAUUAUUACUGCUGGGAAAAAAAUGUCUUGGCUCCCGAAUUCUCUGUGAGGUGCCCGCGUCCCCUUCAGCAGGCACAGCUGAGUGCUCGGUGUGUGCCUGCAUUAUCCACAGCUGCACGUCUGCUCUCUUCACAGGAGCCCCCCGUGCUCAUGCUGCCUCCCAAGCUCCCGAUUUCAGCUUUCUCUGCUCCCUUUCAACCCAAAUCCUGGCAGCCAGAGGGGAGAAAGGCCAGAGCUGAAUGAACACAGAGCGAUUUCGGGUGCCAGGGCCAGCCAGCGGGGUUGGGGUGCUGCUGGGGACAGCUGCUGGCUGCUGUGACAGUAAAGGCUUGUUCCCCUGGCACUCCUGCAGCUGGUUUGGAACACAGCAAAAUAGGGGACGUGGCGUUGGGGGCGGCUGGGUGAAUGAAGAUGAGCAUCAAUGAUGGCCCUGCCCGCCUGGCAUUCAUGAAUCGUCUUCCCCUGGAGGCCUGGAAGGCUCCAAAGCUCGCUCUGAAGUACCUCCUCUGAGUUAUUUUUGCUCGGGGUUUUUGCACUGUUUUCUUUCUUCAAGUUGCUGGGUGAAAAUAAAAGAAGAAAUCGAGAAGUGAGCAGAAAAGGCAGCACAGGUGAUGGUCCCCACAAAGGGAUUCGUGGAGUCACGGAAUAUCUGAGCUGGGAGGGACACACAAAGAUCCUCGAGUCACAUUUGGGACAGAAAUGAUGUCAUUUGGUGUCCUAAUCAACUGGUUUAUCACAUGUUUUUCUUUCUAGCCUGAAUCAUCUUCCAGGAAAGCCAGGAAAGGCUUCCACUGCCUGUUAUGUGAAUUGAGUCCUUUUUAGUUUCACACAUUUCUGCUGGUUUAGGCUUAAAAUUUACAGCUUGUGCUGGUGGAAAGUGCUCCUGGCCCACGACGUGGCACCUCUCAGUGACCCUCGGCAAUGAAAAGCGACCCAGCUCAGCAUUCCCCUCCCAGCCCCAGUUAUUCCUCCCUUUUUGUAAGCUUUAGCCUAAACCCUCCACUUUCCCGCAGUAAUUUCCUCAAUUAUCCAGUUUGUUUUACAGACACCCCCUUUUAAUGUGGAAUUUGCUGUAAAAGACCCCACAAAGGAAACCAUUAGGUCCCAUCUAUUUCAAUUUUCCUCUCCAAACCUCGUGGUGGCCGAUGCAGAGCUGCAGUAUUCCAGUGGCCUUUAACAAACAGCUGAUUUUUCCUUCCCUAUACAAUGCACCAUUAUGUGGCAUUUUUUCUAUUUUUUUUUUUCCUACGGAGAACAAUGCGAGCAGCAGUGAUGGGAAACUGGAAAAACAAAAGGGGCAUUUAGAAGGGACUGGUUUAGAGGCUGGGAAGUGUUGAAUAAUGUUACACCUGAUAGCAGAUGCUUUCUCAGCGACCAGCACCGAGGUGUUUACUAAGGGGAUACUCAAUGUAUGUUUACGCUCAAAAAUGCUAUUUAUGAACUCCACACAGCCAGAUGUUUUGAUGGCUGUAAAUUAUUUAAAGUAAAAAUCAUGGUGGCAUCACUAGCAGUGAAUUUAGAGGGGAUUUUAGGAUGAAAUCCUUCCCUGUGAGGGUGGAAGGGGCUGGGAUGGAAUUCCCAGAAAAGCUGUGGCUGCCCCUGGGUGUCCAAGGCCAGCUUGCAUGGGGCUUGGAGCAACCUGGGACAGUGGAAGGUGCCUAAAAUUGGAACUGGAUGAGCUUUAAGGUCCUUCCCAACCCAAACCAUGCCGUGAUUCUAUGAGGAAAACCUGAGGAAUUGAACUUAAAUGAACUUAAAUUCCCCAGUGCAGGCAGGGUCACCUGGAGCAGGUGACACAGGAACAUGUCCAGGUGGGUUUGGGAUGUCUCCAGAGAGGGAGAUCCCCACCCUCCCUGUUCCACGGCCCUGCCACCUCCAUGCAAACCAGUUUUUCUGUAAAUUUAGGUGGAAUUUGUUGUGUUAAUCUGUCCUGAGCUCAGCUGAUCCAAGCACGGUGCUGACAACUCCAGGGCUGUGGAUUCAAUGGUAUCUCUCCUCAUCCUGUCACUGAGCACCACCGAACAGAGCCCGGCAUCAUCCCCUAAAACCCCUUGGAAAUAUCCGGAUCCACCGGAUCGCCUCUUGCCUUCCCUCCUCCAGCCGGCCCCGGCUCCCACAGCCCCAUCAGAGAUGCUCCAGCCCUCUCACACCUCCACAACCACGC